ACUGGAUGUUGCAGAACUAGAUGUUGCACUGCUGGAGCGAUUCUCCCAGUGCAGCUGAGGAAUAGAUACAAGGCCCUCGCAUCACUGGAAGAGAGUGCAGCAAUGGAGGCUGUGUCCACAGGUACCACCAGGCAGACUGAGGGACACCCGGGCAUCCAGAAGAGAAGACAUUGGGUCAUCGUAGUGCGUGACUCCCUCCUGAGAGGAACAGAAGGAGCCAUCUGCCGCCUGGAUCCCACAGUACGGGAGGCUUGCUGCCUGCCCAGAGCUUGGAUUCAAGAUGUCACAGCGAGGAUUCCAGACCUACUCAGGCCCACCGACUACUAUCCCAUGGUCCUCAUCCAUGUGGGAAUGAAUUAUGAGGCCCAGGGUAGAGCGGGUCGGGUCAUGAGUGACUACAUGGUUCUGGGAGCCAGGUUUAGAGUUUUGGGGGCACAAGUAGUCUACUCAUCUAUCCUCCUAGUCAGCGGUCACAGCCAGAACCACAGCAGCUGCAUUGCCGAGGUCAACUCACAACUUCAAAGUUGGUACCAUCGUGCGGGGUUCGGCUUCCUAGACCAUAAUGUGUGGUUCUAGGAUAGGGCCUUGCUGGGGCGUGAUGGUCUACAUCUUUCUCCAAAAGGUGGUAACAACCUGUUGCUCGGUGAUCGGCUUUAUUCAGGAAUGCGCUGCAGGGGAUGAUUUUCUUGGUCAGAAGCAGAGGAGUGUGAAGAUUUGGAGGGCAUUGCUUUUGAAUUUGGGACUUUUGGAGUUGUUAUUUUACUUUCAUAUUUUAUUCUGGUUCUAUAAUUUUUUCUCUCUUCUUGUAAGCUACCCUAUGACAUUUUGGGCAGGGUGGCAUAUAAAUCUAAUAAGUAAAUCAGUGGUGUGUUACUAUGGUACAGGUGCAGUUAAUUUUGGUGAAUCUAGCCCCUACAGUUCUUAAAAUACCCUAGAUCAUCCUUCUGUGCAUGCUUGCAGUUAUUUAUCACAUUUCCCUAAAAUUAUAUGACGAAGUUCAUGUCUGGGUUAUCCUCUCAUGCCAAACCUAUCAUGGCAGACUCGGCACCUUCAAGCCAUAGGCUUACUCCUAUCUCUACUACCUAGAGGUGCUAAAGUUUCCCUACUUAAAGGCCUUAGUGCAUCCUAAAUUGUACUCUUUGAAUUUUUGCAGUGAUUUUCCAUUUUGAUUUUUUUU
Molecule: long non-coding RNA, 1177 nt
Organism: Gavialis gangeticus (Gharial)
Lineage: Eukaryota; Metazoa; Chordata; Crocodylia; Gavialidae
Exons: 2
Source: RefSeq, a predicted model, not a curated record